Molecule: ribosomal RNA, 496 nt
Filed under: uncultured bacterium
Lineage: Bacteria
Description: partial 16S ribosomal RNA
Rfam family: Bacterial small subunit ribosomal RNA
Source: RNAcentral
GAUGAACGCUGGCGGCGUGCCUAAUACAUGCAAGUCGAGCGAACAGACGAGGAGCUUGCUCCUCUGACGUUAGCGGCGGACGGGUGAGUAACACGUGGAUAACCUACCUAUAAGACUGGGAUAACUUCAGGAAACCGGAGCUAAUACCGGAUAAUAUAUUGAACCGCAUGGUUCAAUAGUGAAAGACGGUUUUGCUGUCACUUAUAGAUGGAUCCGCGCCGCAUUAGCUAGUUGGUAAGGUAACGGCUUACCAAGGCGACGAUGCGUAGCCGACCUGAGAGGGUGAUCGGCCACACUGGAACUGAGACACGGUCCAGACUCCUACGGGAGGCAGCAGUAGGGAAUCUUCCGCAAUGGGCGAAAGCCUGACGGAGCAACGCCGCGUGAGUGAUGAAGGUCUUCGGAUCGUAAAACUCUGUUAUUAGGAAGAACAAAUGUGUAAGUAACUAUGCACGUCUUGACGGUACCUAAUCAGAAAGCCACGGCUAACUACGUG